CACUAUCGUUAACUGAAUACAUAGGUUAACGAGGCGAACCGGGGGAACUGAAACAUCUAAGUACCCCGAGGAAAAGAAAUCAACCGAGAUUCCCCCAGUAGCGGCGAGCGAACGGGGAGCAGCCCAGAGUCUGAAUCAGCUUGUGUGUUAGUGGAACGGUCUGGAAAGUCCGACGGUACAGGGUGAUAGUCCCGUACACCAAAAUGCACAGGCUGUGAACUCGAAGAGUAGGGCGGGACACGUGGUAUCCUGUCUGAAUAUGGGGGGACCAUCCUCCAAGGCUAAAUACUCCUGACUGACCGAUAGUGAACCAGUACCGUGAGGGAAAGGCGAAAAGAACCCCGGCGAGGGGAGUGAAAAAGAACCUGAAACCGUGUACGUACAAGCAGUGGGAGCACCUUCGGGUGUGACUGCGUACCUUUUGUAUAAUGGGUCAGCGACUUAUAUUCUGUAGCAAGGUUAACCGUAUAGGGGAGCCGCAGGGAAACCGAGUCUUAACUGGGCGUUAAGUUGCAGGGUAUAGACCCGAAACCCGGUGAUCUAGCCAUGGGCAGGUUGAAGGUUGGGUAACACUAACUGGAGGACCGAACCGACUAAUGUUGAAAAAUUAGCGGAUGACUUGUGGCUGGGGGUGAAAGGCCAAUCAAACCGGGAGAUAGCUGGUUCUCCCCGAAAGCUAUUUAGGUAGCGCCUCGUGAACUCAUCUUCGGGGGUAGAGCACUGUUUCGGCUAGGGGGUCAUCCCGACUUACCAACCCGAUGCAAACUACGAAUACCGAAGAAUGUUAUCACGGGAGACACACGGCGGGUGCUAACGUCCGUCGUGAAGAGGGAAACAACCCAGACCGCCAGCUAAGGUCCCAAAGUCAUGGUUAAGUGGGAAACGAUGUGGGAAGGCACAGACAGCCAGGAUGUUGGCUUAGAAGCAGCCAUCAUUUAAAGAAAGCGUAAUAGCUCACUGGUCGAGUCGGCCUGCGCGGAAGAUGUAACGGGGCUAAACCAUGCACCGAAGCUGCGGCAGCGACACUAUGUGUUGUUGGGUAGGGGAGCGUUCUGUAAGCCUGCGAAGGUGUGCUGUGAGGCAUGCUGGAGGUAUCAGAAGUGCGAAUGCUGACAUAAGUAACGAUAAAGCGGGUGAAAAGCCCGCUCGCCGGAAGACCAAGGGUUCCUGUCCAACGUUAAUCGGGGCAGGGUGAGUCGACCCCUAAGGCGAGGCCGAAAGGCGUAGUCGAUGGGAAACAGGUUAAUAUUCCUGUACUUGGUGUUACUGCGAAGGGGGGACGGAGAAGGCUAUGUUAGCCGGGCGACGGUUGUCCCGGUUUAAGCAUGUAGGCUGGUUAUCCAGGCAAAUCCGGAUAAUCAAGGCUGAGGUGUGAUGACGAGGCACUACGGUGCUGAAGUAACAAAUGCCCUGCUUCCAGGAAAAGCCUCUAAGCAUCAGGUAACAUCAAAUCGUACCCCAAACCGACACAGGUGGUCAGGUAGAGAAUACCAAGGCGCUUGAGAGAACUCGGGUGAAGGAACUAGGCAAAAUGGUGCCGUAACUUCGGGAGAAGGCACGCUGGUGUGUAGGUGAAGUCCCUGCGGAUGGAGCUGAGACCAGUCGAAGAUACCAGCUGGCUGCAACUGUUUAUUAAAAACACAGCACUGUGCAAACACGAAAGUGGACGUAUACGGUGUGACGCCUGCCCGGUGCCGGAAGGUUAAUUGAUGGGGUUAUCCGUAAGGAGAAGCUCUUGAUCGAAGCCCCGGUAAACGGCGGCCGUAACUAUAACGGUCCUAAGGUAGCGAAAUUCCUUGUCGGGUAAGUUCCGACCUGCACGAAUGGCGUAAUGAUGGCCAGGCUGUCUCCACCCGAGACUCAGUGAAAUUGAACUCGCUGUGAAGAUGCAGUGUACCCGCGGCAAGACGGAAAGACCCCGUGAACCUUUACUAUAGCUUGACACUGAACAUUGAGCCUUGAUGUGUAGGAUAGGUGGGAGGCUUUGAAGCGUGGACGCCAGUCUGCGUGGAGCCAACCUUGAAAUACCACCCUUUAAUGUUUGAUGUUCUAACGUUGGCCCCUGACCGGGGUUGCGGACAGUGUCUGGUGGGUAGUUUGACUGGGGCGGUCUCCUCCCAAAGCGUAACGGAGGAGCACGAAGGUUAGCUAAUCCUGGUCGGACAUCAGGAGGUUAGUGCAAUGGCAUAAGCUAGCUUGACUGCGAGCGUGACGGCGCGAGCAGGUGCGAAAGCAGGUCAUAGUGAUCCGGUGGUUCUGAAUGGAAGGGCCAUCGCUCAACGGAUAAAAGGUACUCCGGGGAUAACAGGCUGAUACCGCCCAAGAGUUCAUAUCGACGGCGGUGUUUGGCACCUCGAUGUCGGCUCAUCACAUCCUGGGGCUGAAGUAGGUCCCAAGGGUAUGGCUGUUCGCCAUUUAAAGUGGUACGCGAGCUGGGUUUAGAACGUCGUGAGACAGUUCGGUCCCUAUCUGCCGUGGGCGCUGGAGAAUUGAGGGGGGCUGCUCCUAGUACGAGAGGACCGGAGUGGACGCAUCACUGGUGUUCGGGUUGUCAUGCCAAUGGCACUGCCCGGUAGCUAAAUGCGGAAGAGAUAAGUGCUGAAAGCAUCUAAGCACGAAACUUGCCCCGAGAUGAGUUCUCCCUGAGACUAUAAGUCUCCUGAAGGAACGUUAAAGACGAUGACGUUGAUAGGCCGGGUGUGUAAGCGCAGCGAUGCGUUGAGCUAACCGGUACUAAUGAACCGUGAGGCUUAACCUU
This 2758-nucleotide ribosomal RNA is filed under the name Klebsiella pneumoniae. Its description in RNAcentral is "bacterial LSU rRNA". It matches the Rfam family "Bacterial large subunit ribosomal RNA". RNAcentral also lists the same sequence under 1 other name. Lineage: Bacteria; Pseudomonadati; Pseudomonadota; Gammaproteobacteria; Enterobacterales; Enterobacteriaceae. The record is from RNAcentral.